GAUGAAGAACGUAGCGAAAUGCGAUAAGUAAUGUGAAUUGCAGAAUUCAGUGAAUCAUCGAAUCUUUGAACGCACAUUGCGCCCGCCAGUAUUCUGGCGGGCAUGCCUGUUCGAGCGUCAUUUCAACCAUCAAGCCCCCGGCUUGUGUUGGGGACCUGCGGCUGCCGCAGGCCCUGAAAAGCAGUGGCGGGCUCGCUGUCACACCGAGCGUAGUAGCAUACAUCUCGCUCUGGGCGUGCUGCGGGUUCCGGCCGUUAAACCACCUUCAUAACCCAAGGUUGACCUCGGAUCAGGUAGGAAGACCCGCUGAACUUAAUCAUAUCAAUAAGCGGAGGA
RNAcentral lists this unclassified non-coding RNA (336 nucleotides) under soil metagenome. RNAcentral's name for it is "partial contains 5.8S ribosomal RNA, internal transcribed spacer 2, and large subunit ribosomal RNA". The stretch from base 1 to 120 matches the Rfam family "5.8S ribosomal RNA", at positions 35 to 154 of the family's 154-position model. The record is from RNAcentral.